This 715-nucleotide ribosomal RNA is filed under the name Jesogammarus hinumensis. RNAcentral describes it as "12S ribosomal RNA". The record is from RNAcentral. Lineage: Eukaryota; Metazoa; Arthropoda; Malacostraca; Amphipoda; Anisogammaridae.
UAUAUAUAUAGUAUUGUUAUAAAUUAAAUUUAAUUAAAAAGUUGUAUAACCAUUAAUUUAUAGUUUUAUAACAAAAAAAAAAAAAAAAAAAAAGUUUAAUUUUUGCUCUAUUAAAAUUUUAUAUUUAUUUAACAUAUGAGCAUGGUGUUAUUCUUUGUAAAGUAGAUCUUUUUAUUGAGAUAGUUCUAUAUAUUGAAAAUAUUUUAAUCAGUUAAUUAUGUAACAGCGGUUAAAUUUGUGCCAGCAGCUGCGGUUAUACUUUUACUGUUAAUUUUUAUUUAGCUUUUUUACUAAGAUUAUAAUUUAGGUGAAAUAAAUUGUGAAUAAAGUUGUUAAUAUGUUAGAACAGGAUUAGAUACCCUGGUAUAUACUCUGUAAGGUUAGUAUAAAUUAGAUAGUUUGGCGGCUUACUUAAAUUAGAGGAACUUGCGCUUAAUAGAUAAGACUCUAUUUUUCUUACUAAGCUUAUGUAUACCGUUAUUUAGGUAAUCUUAAAAUGGAUGGCGGGGUUCAAGAUACUAGAUCAAGGUGCAGAUAUUUGUACGAGUUAGUUAGUUACAAUAAAUAGUAUUAAACGUGAUAUUUUGAGAGAUUAAAGUAGGUGGAUUUAAAUGUAAAUUCUAAAUUUUAAUUGGCUUAGUUGUAUGUGUACAAAUCGCCCGUCACUCUCUUUGGGAUAAGUCGAAACAAAGUAGGCACUCUGGAAAGAAUGCCU